UGUUGGACUUCAAGGACAAGGUGGAC
This 26-nucleotide non-coding RNA is filed under the name Homo sapiens (human). The record is from RNAcentral. Lineage: Eukaryota; Metazoa; Chordata; Mammalia; Primates; Hominidae.